This 498-nucleotide ribosomal RNA is filed under the name uncultured bacterium. RNAcentral's name for it is "partial 16S ribosomal RNA". It matches the Rfam family "Bacterial small subunit ribosomal RNA", at positions 28 to 507 of the family's 1533-position model. The record is from RNAcentral.
GACGAACGCUGGCGGCGUGCCUAAUACAUGCAAGUCGAGCGGACGGAUGGGAGCUUGCUCCCAGACCGUCAGCGGCGGACGGGUGAGUAACACGUGGGCAACCUGCCUGUAAGACUGGGAUAACUCCGGGAAACCGGGGCUAAUACCGGAUAACUCUUUCCCUCACAUGAGGGAAAGCUGAAAGAUGGCAUCUCGCUAUCACUUACAGAUGGGCCCGCGGCGCAUUAGCUAGUUGGUGAGGUAACGGCUCACCAAGGCGACGAUGCGUAGCCGACCUGAGAGGGUGAUCGGCCACACUGGGACUGAGACACAGCCCAGACUCCUACGGGAGGCAGCAGUAGGGAAUCUUCCGCAAUGGACGAAAGUCUGACGGAACAACGCCGCGUGAGUGAUGAAGGUUUUCGGAUCGUAAAACUCUGUUGUCAGGGAAGAACAAGUACCGGAGUAACUGCCGGUACCUUGACGGUACCUGACCAGAAAGCCACGGCUAACUACGUG